CAAUGUUGGUUUGCAGUCACUAGAGGGUGGAUAAGCCUGAGCUUUGUGAGCGAGAUCCAUCUGUGGAGAUACAGUACAUAACAGGAGUGGAGAGCAAGAGAGAGUGGGGAAGAUGUGGAGUGGUGAACAAGACAAGAAGUGACACAAAUCAAUGUGAGCACCCACCAUCACCAUCACCUGCAGAAGCAGCCUCCCCGACCUCCAUCACCUCUCUGCCUUUCACUGGGAGAGUCCACUAGAGACAGAUUCACAGGACACGCAGCCUCCUCAACAACACAGCAUCUGGAGUGAUCUAUCCAGGACUUGGUGGAGAGACAAUUGAUGACUUCUGGACAUUUUUCUUUUCAAGUUGUCCCAUCACUU
Solea senegalensis (Senegalese sole) is the source of this 363-nucleotide long non-coding RNA. RefSeq lists it as uncharacterized. Lineage: Eukaryota; Metazoa; Chordata; Actinopteri; Pleuronectiformes; Soleidae. The record is from RefSeq and is a predicted model, not a curated record. The transcript is spliced from 3 exons.